This 468-nucleotide ribosomal RNA is filed under the name uncultured bacterium. Its description in RNAcentral is "partial 16S ribosomal RNA". It matches the Rfam family "Bacterial small subunit ribosomal RNA", at positions 28 to 507 of the family's 1533-position model. The record is from RNAcentral.
GACGAACGCUGGCGGCGUGCUUAACACAUGCAAGUCGAACGGAAAGGCCCUGCUUUUGUUGGGUGCUCGAGUGGCGAACGGGUGAGUAGCACGUGAGUAGCCUGCCCUUGACUGUGGAAUAACUUCAGGAAACUGGGGCUAAUACCGGAUAGGAGCUCCUGCUGCAUGGUGUGGGUUGGAAAGUUUCGGCGGUUGGGGAUGGGCUACCGGCUUAUCAGCUUGUUGGUGGGUUAUUGGCUAACCAUGGCUUUGACGGGUAGCCGGCCUGGGAGGCUGACCGGCAAAAUUGGGAAUGAGAUCCGGCCAAGCAUCUAACGGAAGGAAGAAGUGGGAAAUAUUGCCAAAUGGGAGGAAGCCUGAUGCAGCAACGCCGCGUGCGGGAGGACGGCUUUGGGGUUGAAAACCGAUUCCGCCUGUGCCGAAGUGUGCGUGACGGUAAUGGGUAAAGAAGCACCGGCUAACUACGUG